UACGUAGGGUGCGAGCGUUGUCCGGAAUUAUUGGGCGUAAAGGGCUCGUAGGCGGUUUGUCGCGUCGGGAGUGAAAACUUGGGGCUUAACCCUGAGCUUGCGGUCGAUACGGGCAUGACUGGAGUUCGGCAGGGGAGACUGGAAUUCCUGGUGUAGCGGUGAAAUGCGCAGAUAUCAGGAGGAACACCAGCGGCGAAGGCGGUGCUCUGGGCCGGAACUGACACUGAGGAGCGAAAGCGUGGGGAGCGAACAGG
This 254-nucleotide ribosomal RNA is filed under the name uncultured bacterium. Its description in RNAcentral is "partial 16S ribosomal RNA". It matches the Rfam family "Bacterial small subunit ribosomal RNA", at positions 524 to 776 of the family's 1533-position model. The record is from RNAcentral.